Eucalyptus grandis is the source of this 1229-nucleotide long non-coding RNA. RefSeq lists it as uncharacterized. The record is from RefSeq and is a predicted model, not a curated record. The transcript has 5 exons. NCBI's taxonomy places the organism in Eukaryota, Viridiplantae, Streptophyta, Magnoliopsida, Myrtales, Myrtaceae.
CUAAUCCGAUUGCCACAAGAGCAUUAAGAGCUAAUUUCUCUCCUUCUUUGGCUUUAAUACUCGAUUCAAUUGGCCGUACUAAUUCUUGGUAUCUUGCUUCCAUUAUCAGUGCUCUCUUUUCAAUUGGGAUAACACACAUUCAGGAUCUCGUCUUCUUUAGGUAUGAACUCUUGAACCAGCUCCCGAUCUUUGAAUUUCAAGAUGAUCGUUUCUAGUGAAGUUCCGACAGCCAUGAACCUCCUCCGCAAAUCCAGCGCAAGACCAACUCUAUUCCAGUGUACACUCUUCAACUCUGUUAAGCUCUACUCAAACAAUCGAAGUUAGUCCUUCAAUGCUUGAUUGCUGCAAGAGCUAAGUUCUCUCCCUCACUCUAAUUCUAAUUUUAUUGCAGUCUGUAUUUUUGAUUCUCUCUCUGUUUUUGUGUUCUUAGCAGCUUUGAUGAUCUUUCAUUCCAGCGUCAUCAUCUCUGACGAUUUCUCCCUCUGGUUUGAGCAAAACAAGAUAGUUAAAGAGAUUUUAUUUGUCACUCGUGUCCUACAUUCCGAAAGAAAAUCCCAUUGGUUCUUCUAAACCGCUCGGCAAUAGAUUCAGAAAGGAGGACAUGCGACUGUUGGGAUCGGAUGCAUUUACGCGGAGGUCAAAUUCUUUACAAAGAGACAUCUGAGUAGAUCAUGCUGGCUAUGCUCUUGACCUGGACCAUAAUAGCCUUAACAGAGAACCUACUCGGUGGCAGCAAGAUGACUCUUUCUCAUCAUCUAGUCCUAAACAUCACAUUUCUUGUAGGCUGAGCAGAGAGUGCGUGAAGAAAGUGAGAAGCUGAGGCAGCAAGAGCAUGAGCAAAUUGCAGAAAAGAGAAGGAAGAUUUGGCUGGCCUUUUCUUUUAGUUAUAAUUAUAUCAAUUCAGAAAGAAAGAGAAUCAAAGUAUUUGGUUCUUGUCUGAUUAGUUAAUGAAGCGGUUGACAUUUACUCUCUUUUGUCUGAUUAGAAUUGCUGCCAAGGCAGAAGAAAAGAAAGAAAGAUGCAACCUUGAUUGAGCGGCAAAAGGAGCAAGUUGGUUUCUUUCUGCUGUUAUUCUCAAGGAAAGUUGAGGCGCAGGUGCAUCUAUAGUGAUAUAUAGGAUUUCCUGGAGCAGAAGAGCGCUGGGCGACAGGAGCGAUCUGAAUAUCAGAAACAGAUUGGGGAUCAGAAUAUUGCAAAGGUCGAGAAGCAGUUGGAGAGGUGGCAAAAUG